UACGAAGGGGGCUAGCGUUGUUCGGAAUUACUGGGCGUAAAGCGCGCGCAGGCGGUUCUUCAAGUCAGAGGUGAAAGCCCAGAGCUCAACUCUGGAAUGGCCUUUGAGACUAGAGAACUAGGGUACGGGAGAGGUGAGUGGAAUUCCGAGUGUAGAGGUGAAAUUCGUAGAUAUUCGCAAGAACACCAGUGGCGAAGGCGGCUCACUGGCCCGGUACUGACGCUGAGACGCGAAAGCGUGGGGAGCGAACAGG
This 253-nucleotide ribosomal RNA is filed under the name uncultured bacterium. RNAcentral's name for it is "partial 16S ribosomal RNA". It matches the Rfam family "Bacterial small subunit ribosomal RNA", at positions 524 to 776 of the family's 1533-position model. The record is from RNAcentral.